This 493-nucleotide ribosomal RNA is filed under the name uncultured Roseburia sp. RNAcentral's name for it is "partial 16S ribosomal RNA". Lineage: Bacteria; Bacillati; Bacillota; Clostridia; Lachnospirales; Lachnospiraceae. The record is from RNAcentral.
CACGUAUUUAGCCGGAGCUUCUUAGUCAGGUACCGUCAUUAUCUUCCCUGCUGAUAGAGCUUUACAUACCGAAAUACUUCAUCGCUCACGCGGCGUCGCUGCAUCAGGGUUUCCCCCAUUGUGCAAUAUUCCCCACUGCUGCCUCCCGUAGGAGUCUGGGCCGUGUCUCAGUCCCAAUGUGGCCGGUCGCCCUCUCAGGCCGGCUACUGAUCGUCGCCUUGGUGGGCCGUUACCCCGCCAACAAGCUAAUCAGACGCGGAUCCAUCUCACACCACCGGAGUUUUUCACACUGUACCAUGCGGUACCGUGCGCUUAUGCGGUAUUAGCAGCCGUUUCCAACUGUUAUCCCCCUGUGUGAGGCAGGUUAUCCACGCGUUACUCACCCGUCCGCCACUCAGUCACAGAACAAUCAUCCCCGAAGGAAAUCAGGUAAAGUGCUUCGUUCGACUUGCAUGUAUUAAGCACGCCGCCAGCGUUCAUCCUGAGCCAGGAA